UACGAAGGGGGCUAGCGUUGCUCGGAAUCACUGGGCGUAAAGGGUGCGUAGGCGGGUCUUUAAGUCAGGGGUGAAAUCCUGGAGCUCAACUCCAGAACUGCAUUUGAUACUGAGGAUCUUGAGUUCGGGAGAGGUGAGUGGAACUGCGAGUGUAGAGGUGAAAUUCGUAGAUAUUCGCAAGAACACCAGUGGCGAAGGCGGCUCACUGGCCCGAUACUGACGCUGAGGCACGAAAGCGUGGGGAGCAAACAGG
RNAcentral lists this ribosomal RNA (253 nucleotides) under uncultured bacterium. Its description in RNAcentral is "partial 16S ribosomal RNA". It matches the Rfam family "Bacterial small subunit ribosomal RNA", at positions 524 to 776 of the family's 1533-position model. The record is from RNAcentral.